This 804-nucleotide long non-coding RNA is filed under the name Homo sapiens (human). RNAcentral's name for it is "non-protein coding LINC00533:1". Lineage: Eukaryota; Metazoa; Chordata; Mammalia; Primates; Hominidae. The record is from RNAcentral.
CGGCAAUUGCAAUACAGUGGUAUUUGUGUAUCCGAACAUACGAAAGCUUCUACAAGGUGCGGAUCCAUAAGGAAGAUAUUAGGAAACAUCUAAUUGAAGCUUGAAGAACCAAAAUGAGGAAGGCAGAAUUAGGAAAGACCCUGUCCGGUGACGCCUCCCCUUCUGGUUUCCAUCUGUGCCCCCUCUCAGGAGCCGCGGGAACACAAGCCUCGAGCAGGCAAAGUCUCUUUGGAUUUGAAAUACAAAACCGUUAAGUGAGCUCCGACCAGGUCGCCUCCCAGCUGUCGCCUGCUUUCUCUAAAGCAGUGAUCUGGCAGCUGUUUGGAGAGUCUGAACGCGUUAACAGUUUUUGUUUUUCAGCGCAUCCGUGUGCUAUCUUCUAAUUGGCCAGAAAAGCCAUUAAUGUGAUGAAAAUUCUGAAUGAUCUGUUUUGCUAGAAAAGCUUUUCACUCCACUUUUAGAAUCCAACCACUUGAUGAUUCGAAAUCACCGCAAUGCCAUGGAAUGUAAAAACUGCUCUCGCCACGUCUAGAGACCGAUGCCUCUUCCUCCGCUGGGAACAUGGUUCAUCUCCACUCUCCGAUUUCACGGUUUUAUUUGCCCUCUGGGACGCGCUGACAUUGUUCUAAGCACAUUUUCUAAGUGAUUGUGUGAGUGUGGGUGUGUUUUGUUGGACUUGAAGGGAGUCUAAUUUCUAGAAGUUCCUUUCAGGAGUCUGCCUUUACUGCAAAGUUGAUGUAUUCGAAAACACAGUAACUCUUAAUGGCAACAGAAUUUGUCACCUAAUUAAGUGCAAUUCGGUCA